CUUGGAGGCAGGGUGGAUCUGAGGAUGUUACGACUCCAUAGCAUCUCUGUCUGCCUCUCUGGG
RNAcentral lists this microRNA precursor (63 nucleotides) under Sus scrofa (pig). Its description in RNAcentral is "microRNA ssc-mir-9825 precursor". The record is from miRBase by way of RNAcentral. Lineage: Eukaryota; Metazoa; Chordata; Mammalia; Artiodactyla; Suidae.